Molecule: ribosomal RNA, 480 nt
Filed under: uncultured bacterium
Lineage: Bacteria
Description: partial 16S ribosomal RNA
Rfam family: Bacterial small subunit ribosomal RNA
Source: RNAcentral
GACGAACGCUGGCGGCGUGCUUAACACAUGCAAGUCGAACGAUGAAGAAAAGAAUCGAAGCUUCGGCAGAAAUUCAUUUCGGAUUAGUGGCAGACGGGUGAGUAACGCGUGAGCAACCUACCUCUUACAAAGGGAUAGCCUCGGGAAACCGGGAUUAAUACCAUAUAACAUUGUGACGAAGCAUUUCGAUGCAAUCAAAGCUACGGCGGUAAGAGAUGGGCUCGCGUCCCAUUAACCGGAUGGUGAGGUAACGGCUCACCAUAGUGACGAUGGGUAACCGGCCUGAGAGGGUGAACGGUCACACUGGAACUGAGACACGGUCCAGACUCCUACGGGAGGCAGCAGUGGGGAAUAUUGCACAAUGGAGGGAACUCUGAUGCAGCGACGCCGCGUGAGUGAUGAAGGAAUUCGUUUCGUAAAACUCUGUCCUAUGGGAAGAAAAGGACUGUACCAUAGGAGAAAGCUCCGGCUAAAUACGUG